ACGGUAACAGGCGAGAGCUUGCUCUUGUGCUGACGAGUGGCGGACGGGUGAGUAAUGCUUGGGAAUCUGGCUUAUGGAGGGGGAUAACAACGGGAAACUGUUGCUAAUACCGCGUAAAAUCGAAAGAUUAAAGUGUGGGACCGCAAGGCCACAUGCCAUGGGAUGAGCCCAAGUGGGAUUAGGUAGUUGGUGGGGUAAAGGCCUACCAAGCCGUCGAUCUCUAGCUGGUCUGAGAGGAUGGCCAGCCACACUGGAACUGAGACACGGUCCAGACUCCUACGGGAGGCAGCAGUGGGGAAUAUUGCGCAAUGGGGGCAACCCUGACGCAGCCAUGCCGCGUGAAUGAAGAAGGCCUUCGGGUUGUAAAGUUCUUUCGGUGAUGAGGAAGGCUUAAUGUUUAAUAGACAUUGAGAUUGACGUUAAUUACAGAAGAAGCACCGGCUAACUCCGUGCCAGCAGCCGCGGUAAUACGGAGGGUGCGAGCGUUAAUCGGAAUAACUGGGCGUAAAGGGCACGCAGGCGGAUUUUUAAGUGAGAUGUGAAAGCCCCGGGCUUAACCUGGGAACUGCAUUUCAGACUGGGAAUCUAGAGUACUUUAGGGAGGGGUAGAAUUCCACGUGUAGCGGUGAAAUGCGUAGAGAUGUGGAGGAAUACCGAAGGCGAAGGCAGCCCCUUGGGAAUGUACUGACGCUCAUGUGCGAAAGCGUGGGGAGCAAACAGGAUUAGAUACCCUGGUAGUCCACGCUGUAAACGCUGUCGAUUUGGGGAUUGGGGUUUAACUCUGGUGCCCGUAGCUAACGUGAUAAAUCGACCGCCUGGGGAGUACGGCCGCAAGGUUAAAACUCAAAUGAAUUGACGGGGGCCCGCACAAGCGGUGGAGCAUGUGGUUUAAUUCGAUGCAACGCGAAGAACCUUACCUACUCUUGACAUCC
RNAcentral lists this ribosomal RNA (932 nucleotides) under uncultured Pasteurella sp. RNAcentral describes it as "bacterial SSU rRNA". It matches the Rfam family "Bacterial small subunit ribosomal RNA", at positions 66 to 989 of the family's 1533-position model. Lineage: Bacteria; Pseudomonadati; Pseudomonadota; Gammaproteobacteria; Pasteurellales; Pasteurellaceae. The record is from RNAcentral.